UUGAAGUCAGUCGUACCGACGAGAAAUCAACUUAUCGUGUGCGAACUUGUGGGCGUGCGUGAGUUUCGGCCUCGCUGUUUGCAUGUUUGUGCGUUUUGGGUGUACUUUUUCGUAUGGUAGGCCAACAUCAGUUUCGAUUACUAUAAAAUGACCGGCGGAAUGUAGCUUCGAUUUCGGUUGAAGUGUUAUAGCCUCUGGUAGAUGUGGUGAUUGGAACUGAGGAUUGCAACGAAUAUCCUUUGGGCUAUCCGUCUGAUCUCUGAAAGUUGCUCAGGUGCCGAAAGCGUGCUUACGGUCAUCUAAGUUGACGGUCAACAGGUUAGAACGUGAUUACAUUCGUUAAGGAUGUUGACGUA
RNAcentral lists this ribosomal RNA (356 nucleotides) under Glomus sp. rp40. RNAcentral describes it as "eukaryotic LSU rRNA". The record is from RNAcentral. Lineage: Eukaryota; Fungi; Glomeromycota; Glomeromycetes; Glomerales; Glomeraceae.